CGGAGGAAAAGAAACCAACAGGGAUUGCCCUAGUAACGGCGAGUGAAGCGGCAACAGCUCAAAUUUGAAAUCUGGCGCAAGCCCGAGUUGUAAUUUGUAGAGGAUGCUUCUAGGUAGCGACCGGUCUAAGUUCCUUGGAACAGGACGUCAUAGAGGGUGAGAAUCCCGUAUGUGACCGGCCCGCACCUUCUACGUAGCUCCUUCGACGAGUCGAGUUGUUUGGGAAUGCAGCUCUAAAUGGGAGGUAAAUUUCUUCUAAAGCUAAAUACCGGCCAGAGACCGAUAGCGCACAAGUAGAGUGAUCGAAAGAUGAAAAGCACUUUGGAAAGAGAGUUAAAAAGCACGUGAAAUUGUUGAAAGGGAAGCGCUUACAACCAGACUUCUGGGCGGUGUUCCGCCGGUCUUUUGACCGGUCUACUCGCCGUCCCGAGGCCAACAUCAUCUGGGACCGCUGGAUAAGACCUCAGGAAUGUAGCUCCCCUCGGGGAGUGUUAUAGCCUGUGGUGAUGCAGCGCGUCUCGGGUGAGGUCCGCGCUUCGGCAAGGAUGUUGGCGUAAUGGUUGUCAGCGGCCCGUCUUGAAACACGGACCAAGGAGUCUAACAUCUAUGCGAGUGUUCGGGUGUCAAACCCCUACGCGUAAUGAAAGUGAACGGAGGUGGGAAGGGCAACCUGCACCAUCGACCGAUCCUGAUGUCCUCGGAUGGAUUUGAGUAAGAGCAUAGCUGUUGGGACCCGAAAGAUGGUGAACUAUGCCUGAAUAGGGUGAAGCCAGAGGAAACUCUGGUGGAGGCUCGCAGCGGUUCUGACGUGCAAAUCGAUCGUCAAAUUUGGGUAUAGGGGCGAAAGAC
RNAcentral lists this ribosomal RNA (849 nucleotides) under Ramularia coleosporii. RNAcentral describes it as "eukaryotic LSU rRNA". It matches the Rfam family "Eukaryotic large subunit ribosomal RNA", at positions 51 to 931 of the family's 3401-position model. Lineage: Eukaryota; Fungi; Ascomycota; Dothideomycetes; Mycosphaerellales; Mycosphaerellaceae. The record is from RNAcentral.